This 418-nucleotide long non-coding RNA is filed under the name Elaeis guineensis (African oil palm). RNAcentral describes it as "long non-coding RNA (EGUI_LNC069715)". The record is from RNAcentral. Lineage: Eukaryota; Viridiplantae; Streptophyta; Magnoliopsida; Arecales; Arecaceae.
ACUACCCUGGCCAAGGUUUUGCUAAAUUGAAACAUGACUGUACACAGCUCCUGAACUGGAGUGGUCAAUCCCAUCUUGACACAUGCACCGACAAGUCAAGUACUUGACUACACCCAGCAGUCUUCCGUCACUGAAUUAGAAAUUCAGGUAGUCCAGUGCCUAAGUACAGUGAGUUGCUUGCAAGUCACCGUGGCGGUCUCAGGUCAGAGGGACAUUUAUACCCAUAUUCCAUCGGAGCAAAUCUUGACCGCAGAAAUAGCUCCAGAGUCGGUCACGUUCAGUGCAGAUGUACCCUUACAUCUCACCUGUAUGCCAUACCAGUGUCUCCACACUCAUUGAUUAAGAGAACAACCAAUCUAUAUGGCACACAAUGACCUAUGCUUGAUAAACAUUGUCGUCCUUGGUAACAACGUAUCAU